UAACAACUCACCUGCCGAAUGAACUAGCCCUGAAAAUGGAUGACGCUUAAGCGGGUUGCCGACACCAGACCGUUUUGGUAAGAAGCGACCAAAAUGAGUAGGAGGGCGUGGCGGUUUUGUUGAGAAGGAUGAGACGCAAGUCUAUCUGAAACGGCCGCUAGUGCAGAUCUUGGUGGUAGUAGCAAAUAUUCAAGCGAGAUCCUUGAAGGGCGAAGCGGGGAAGGGUUCCACGCGAACAUUGAUUGGGCGUGGGUGAGUCGUGCCUAAGCCGGGUGGUAAUCGUUCUUACGAUCGGCGAAAGGGAAGCGGGUUAAAAUUCUCGCACACGGAUGUGGAGGCGGUGACGCAAAUUGAGGUGGAGACGUUAGCGAUGGCACUGGGCAGAGUUGUCUUUUCUGUUUAACCUGUGGCGGCACUCUGUGGAAUCCGAUUAUCGGGAGAAACAGGUGCUUAUGGGAAGAGCGUCGGGGCGUCCCCGGCGUCCAGUACGCCAUCGAUAGCCCUUGAAAAUCCAUCUGCAAUGAAAUUUCACGCCGUGGCGUACCGAUAACCGCAUCAGGUCCCCAAGGUGAACAGCCUCUGCUCAAUAUGAA
RNAcentral lists this ribosomal RNA (593 nucleotides) under Harveylithon sp. RNAcentral describes it as "partial large subunit ribosomal RNA". It matches the Rfam family "Eukaryotic large subunit ribosomal RNA", at positions 1283 to 1896 of the family's 3401-position model. The record is from RNAcentral. Lineage: Eukaryota; Rhodophyta; Florideophyceae; Corallinales; Porolithaceae.